AGUGGAGUGCCCGACAAAAGGAUGACUAUGAUAGAGUCAAAUAUACAGGGCGGCCCUGUCUCUACUA
Molecule: transfer RNA, 67 nt
Filed under: Trachylophus sinensis
Lineage: Eukaryota; Metazoa; Arthropoda; Insecta; Coleoptera; Cerambycidae
Description: tRNA-Ile
Source: RNAcentral